UAUGUCCCUAGCAACAGAAGUGUUGUGGGUGUGGCUGCUGUGUUAUGGGUGCAUCAGUAGGUGGCAGAGAGGAAAGAGUCCAUGUCUAUGUUCAAUGUUCUGAUCUAAGAAAAUCUUACUGAUUGAUAGCUUAACAUU
Small nucleolar RNA from Arvicanthis niloticus (Nile rat), 138 nucleotides. RefSeq annotates it as small nucleolar RNA SNORA17. The record is from RefSeq and is a predicted model, not a curated record. Lineage: Eukaryota; Metazoa; Chordata; Mammalia; Rodentia; Muridae.